UUCUAUUGUUUCCAUAUUGGCAAAUACAACACCUACUUGGUUGCAAUCAACUACCAAAGCCCAAUCACUUCGAAAAAAUCUGCGUAUUAUAAAAUAUAUUAGUAUACUUCAUCAUUCGGAGGUCUUCGAAUCGUGUGACUGUACUUUUCGUGGAUGGGAUCAUUUAAUAUUUUUACUAAAUGAUCUAGUGAGCUGGGAAGAGGGGAUCGCCUACAACGUCGCUGUCUUGUAAGCCUGUGUUCUGUUUGAAGAUAUGUAUAGUUUUCUGCUGCUUCAGGGUGACUACAAUUUCAAUUUUUAAGAACAAUGAAAUGUAUUAUUGUUUCAUGGUUAUACUUACUUGACAAUUUCCUGAUUGUACACUAAUCUAACAGAAGAGGAUAAAUUUCCAGGUGACUAUGGAUAUGCUUCCGGUUUAAUGACAGGUAACCUGGAUUGUUCAAGUUAACACUAGCUGUAGCAAGGCAAAAUGGCCAAUCAUAAUGAUUUUUUCUGUGGCAAACUAAAUAUCUUUAAGAACAUAAAAGAUAAAGGAGUAUAGACAAACGGUUUCGUACAGAACUUUUUUUAUAGUACUUAAAAUUUAAGUUGUCCACAUAAACUUGAGAUCCAACCUGAACUCCUGGAAUUAUGGUGUAAGUCUCGGGAUUUUGUUCUACUGGAACUAUGUUAUUUAAUAUAAUAUUACAAACAAGACAACAGAGGUUCUAAAUUAAUUCACCUUCAUUUUCUCCGUCGGAAAAGACAUCGUCAUCAUCAUCAUCAUCAUCAUCAGACUCGCCACAAUUUAGUGUCUCUACUUCAUCAACAAUGAUGAACAGACAUUGGUCUGGAUACAUAACUAAAUUAGGUGGUAAAUAAUUAAAUUAUUUUAUAACACUUAUAUAUUCUUUUAUAUUAUACAUAUUAUGUUUAAAUAAAUAAAUAAAUAGGUUAUUAAAUGUAAAGAUACCUGGUAAAAAAUAAUCGUGGUCUCGUAAAUGUAAAGGUCUGUCCACUUGUUGAUCAUUCAUUUUUUUAUACAGUUAGAAUAAUAAUUAUUAUACACUUAAACAGUUAGGUUAAGUCAAAAAUGUUUUGCCAAAUAAAGUAUAUAAGUAAUACUUGUCAAUGUAUUAAAAAAAAAAAUCUAAAUAACUCAAAAACGUUGCACUCACUCCAUAUAAAUAACAACAACAGACCAACUAAAAAUAGAACAAAUUGUAUAAUAUGAUAAACUAUAGUUUUUAUCAGCCAUUAUCAAUAUUCUGACAUGGUUAAAUACAAAAAUAUAAUUUUCUGUGUUUUCUGAAAAUGUAUUUUUUAAAAUUAACCAAAGAACUGCCUAGAAUAUUGUUUAAAUUAUUAAAUGUAUUAUCUUCUAAACACUUUAGAUUUUGGCCUGCUAAGUAUUCCAUUACUCAAACAUUACCUGAAUCAUUUAAAAUAAAUUAUCCAAAUUGCAAAAGAAUAAUAGAUUGUACCUAAAAUAAAGUUGAACAGCCAAGUACUGUUGAACAGCUUGUUAAUCAUCAUCAUGUUUGUAUUAUGUAUUAUUAAAUAACAUCAUUAUGUAUCAAAUUAUAUAUUUUUUUAUAAAUACCUAAUAUUUGUAAAUUAUAAUCACCAUAAAUUAUCAAAAAUAUAUAUUACUUUUAAUACAACUAAAUGAGUACAUUUAGAAAAUGAUUUCAACUCGAAUAAAACAAAACUUACAAAUAAAAUAUUAGUUAUACGAAUAAGAUAGGUUAUUAAAAAUAUUGUGCAGCAUCAAAAUUAUCAACCAAUUUUGGUUAAAAAAAAGGACAUUCAAACCACUGCAAUGCAUUAAAAAUUGACAUUUAAUAUAAUAUUCGUGUGUAAUUCUUAAAGUUAAUUUUCCAUUUGUAUUAAAAAAAAGUAUUGCAUAGCAUAAUAAUAUAAUUAUAUUGUCCCCUAGAGUGCGCUGUAUUUAGCGUCUCUAUUCUAGUAAAAUGAAUACUUCGGGGUUUUUUUU
This is a long non-coding RNA of Myzus persicae (green peach aphid), 1975 nucleotides long. RefSeq lists it as uncharacterized. The record is from RefSeq and is a predicted model, not a curated record. The transcript has 5 exons. Lineage: Eukaryota; Metazoa; Arthropoda; Insecta; Hemiptera; Aphididae.